Long non-coding RNA from Pomacea canaliculata, 2194 nucleotides. RefSeq lists it as uncharacterized. The record is from RefSeq and is a predicted model, not a curated record. Lineage: Eukaryota; Metazoa; Mollusca; Gastropoda; Architaenioglossa; Ampullariidae. The transcript is spliced from 2 exons.
ACCUGGCAGAGACCGAAAUUUUUAUGGAAAUUCGAAAACCGGCUUUUCCAGUCUCGAUCCGCGGCAUUAAUUCAUGGAUUUCUGCCGCUGGCGCCUGCACCGCCCUACAUCGUCAUUGCCCUCUGUCUGAGGGACACUUGCAAGCUUGAGCUUCGAAGCAAAACAAAGAGGCAACAGCUUACAAAGACUUACAGCUGCCUCGACCAUAUGCAGCAACCAUAUGUGUUCGCAGAAUCAUGGCGUUACUUCCGGUUCGAAAGAUCACGUGGUACAAAAUCAGCAUCGUCCUCCUGUACUUCGGCUUUGCCUGCUUGACGGCGGGGAUGGUGUCUCCUUACUGGACGUACGGCUCCAAGACGACGGUAGACGACACCAUCGUCAUUCACCGAGGGCUCUGGCACGUCUGCCACGGUCACGCGGGGUCAGUGGCCUGCGCCUCUAGUCUCGGCGACCCUCCGGAAUGGCUGAAAGCGGUGGUGGCCCUGCAGUGCCUCGCUGUGGUCGGGUUGGCGUUUUCCGCUGGCUUUGUCGUCCUGCUGACGUGUCUCUGGAGCUUCUCGCGCAUACCGGAAGUGGUCGCUUGCAUCGCCAGCGUCGUGGGAUUCAUCGGGCUGCUCGUCUUUGUGGGGAAGACCCCGAAAGAGGAGGGAACCGUCAUCUUCCAUUUCUCCUGGAGCUUUGCCUUGGAUCUCAUCGGCUGCGUUGUCGCUUUUGUCGCCGCUGUUAUUAUGGCCUUGAGUAACAAAAACACGCCUCCUGCUGUGAAGAGUAGCAGCCAGGACACUCGAGAUAUACAGACAGUGGAAAGCAUAAACAGCGAGUAUGCCGCUCACAGAGUUGUCUAAUAUACUACUCAGAGCUAUCUAGGUGAAAUGAAUUCUUGUGUAGCCAAUGCAUGACUAAAGCGGUGAGGUAUGUACUUUAUAUCUACCCUCGAUUUAAACAUAUGAAUUAAUAGAAAGCGAUGUAUAUAGCUUUUAAAGUGUAAAAAAUAUCCUGGAAAUUACCCGCAUGUUAUCUUAAACAUUUAAGCAGCAAAACAAGCAAACCAGCCCAAUCGAAUAAAUUUAUGGCAAAAAUGCAUUGUAAAUUUUCAUUGUUUUAAUAAUAAUCAUCAUAAUCAUUAUAAUCAUCACCAUGAUCAUCCAGCAAUUUAUCCAGCACCAACCAGACUCAAAGAGCUUUACAUACAAAAAUUUAAAGAUAUUUUCGCGUAAUAUUUUUCAUUGCUGCUUGAUAUUUUCAUAAAGAUGUUUAUGUUUGCCUGGUAAUCAAGAGUCGAGAGUAUGAGUCGUAGGUUGGACCUUUCCACUCCUGCUUCUUUCUGUGAUGAACCUGUUCGCAUAAUGGUCUAUUUUGCAGAGGUUACCACACACCAACCGAAUCAUUCACAGCCACACAACAAAGAACUGCACUGCAAGAAAUAUAAUUAAAUAAUAAAUAAUAAUAAAUUCAAUAUCAGUGUCUAUAAGCACUGUCAUAUACUUUACACCGAUAUGUAACAUUCCAAAAUCACGAGUGUGACAAUGGAAAACACACACACACACACAAAUAUUAAAUGUGCGUGAAUGUAAUCCGCCAUGUCCUUCAACUUGUCAUGUUCAUCAACAAACCGACAUGGAAUUGAUGAUUACCUUUUUUUUAGGGUGGGGGAUAUUGGUGCAUUAUCAGUUCCACUAUCUGUACUAGAAGAAUUAAGAUUUUUGUCACAGCUCAAGAAAUGAUUAAUCCAGAAGAAAAAAGACAGGUAUUUACACCAUAAUUUUGUUGUCAAAGUUCAAAAAUUAUCAUGAAAUACUUUUCUUGCUUCUUCGUCUUUAAAAGACAAGUAUGUCUUUUGUUACGGAUAUAUUUUAACAGCUCGGCUGUCGUAGAAAUGGACAGGCAGCUUGUCCACAGAAUCAAGAUAUACAUGCAAUUCUGAAAAAUGCUAGAUUUUGUUGCACUUUGGAGGGGCAGUAGAAAGCUGCAACGAAAAUCGGCUUUGCGAUGUAAAUGGCAUUGUGUCACAGGCUGAUGUCCAUUUGCAUCGUUUGAAAAGUAAGAACAUUAUGCCCAAAACCAGAUGGAGUACCGUAUGUCGGUCACCAGAGGCAAUGAACUGAAAAUAUUCAAUAUUAUUAUCCUCGCUUUAAAAUUAGAGAACGAAGGGUAAAGGGAAAAGAGACCAAAUAAAAUAAAGCUUAAAAAUUCA